GACACGAGGGAGAGGCAGCAGUGGGACUCCUACGGGAGGCAGCAGUGGGACUCUCANGGGAGGCAGCAGAAGAGACUCCUACGGGAGGCAGCAGUGGGACUCCUACGGGAGGCAGCAGUGGGACUCCUACGGGAGGCAGCAGUGGGGCAGUUGGCUCAGAACGAACGCUGGCGGCUGGCCCAGAACGAACGCUGGCGGCUGGCUCAGAACGAACGCUGGCGGCAGCAUUGGGACUCCUACAGGAGGCAGCAUUGGGACUCCUACAGGAGGCAGCAUUGGGACUCCUACAGGAGGCAGCCAUGGGACAGUUAGCUCACAACGAACGCUGGCCGCC
This 334-nucleotide unclassified non-coding RNA is filed under the name uncultured bacterium. RNAcentral's name for it is "partial contains 16S ribosomal RNA and 16S-23S ribosomal RNA intergenic spacer region". The record is from RNAcentral.